UAAGGUUUUCAUUUUCAGAUU
RNAcentral lists this non-coding RNA (21 nucleotides) under Caenorhabditis elegans. The record is from RNAcentral. Lineage: Eukaryota; Metazoa; Nematoda; Chromadorea; Rhabditida; Rhabditidae.